Non-coding RNA from Phascolarctos cinereus (koala), 2031 nucleotides. The record is from RefSeq and is a predicted model, not a curated record. Lineage: Eukaryota; Metazoa; Chordata; Mammalia; Diprotodontia; Phascolarctidae.
ACUUGUUCUUUGGCUAGAAAUGAUUCCUUGUGUUGUCUCUCUCAUCGUAGGCAACAUUUUCAUACACAACUUCAUUUUUCCAGUGUUGCCAAAGCUCUGCUUCCUUUUUAAAAAUGGGAAAACAAAUUCACACUGUCUUGAAGGUAACAUAUGAACUUCUCUUAAUCGGUGGACUAAUAAUGAAGCUUGCUUAGCGGUUCCAAUGUGUGCAAGAAACAGAGUUUUUUUGUUCUUCAAUUCCUAGUGAGCUUCUCAUUGCUUCCCUGUUAGAAGAUGCUUCAUCUGUCACUUGCCAUAGUCCAGUAACCCUAAAGGGAUUUCCUGUGUGGAACAUCUCAGACUUUGGCUGUCAGCCUACCUUCUUGCCAGCAACUCUGGGAAAUGUACUGGAUAAAACAGUGGUCCCAGUAACUUUAGUCUCUGUAGUGUUACUUGUGCUCCUUUGGCUGCUUCUGGUGCUUUGGAAGAUGAAACACAACAGAGUACGUUGGCAGCUAGGUAAAGGAAUAGCUGUCGGUACCUGUAGAAAAGAGUUCAUAAGACCCCAGAAGAGCAGCGGGCAUCCUAAUAGGAAGAGACAAGUCACCAUCAAAGAAAUGGCUUCACAGAUUACAACAGUUGAACAACCUUCAAGAUCAGCCUUGGCAAGUUAGUCAAGUUCAGAACAUUCAGGAGGGAACUUGGGGCCCUCUGAACAGACUGGGCAAACCCCCCAAUUAGAGCUUCCUGGUGGGGAUUCAGGUUCCCUUAAUAACUUUCACCAACACAGCAAGAAGCUCAAUGCCCCAGUCCCUUGGCCCAGUGUGGAAUUUUCAUGUAAAGGUACAUGUUGUAUGUCUGAGCCUGUAAACCAGAAUCUGAGUGCAUUAGAAAUGAGUGGCAUAGAAAGAGGUGGUGCUAGGGUUGAGAACACUGAGACCCUGGAAUAUUUCACGGUAUCUAUAAAGAAGUCAAGUUGCCCCAGUACCAAGCCCCAUAGAACUGUGCAAAGUUUCCUUUGAAGAGGAGCCAGACAUGGCCACAGGAAAGUGGUAUGUGGAUCAAGGAACAAAGCCUGAGGACAAACAUCCCCUCAGUCCCUGCUAAGGACUCUCAGAAUGCUGAAAUACAUGAGUACCUACAAGGUGAUCUACACAUGCAAGAGAAUCCCAAGCCUCUGUUUAAGAGAACUUCCAAACCAAGACUCACCCAGAAGUUAGCCCAACUGGGUGGGUACCAGAGAAGAAGAUAGCUUACCCACAGUCAGGGGAAGGUGGGGCAGGAUGGAGCCUCAGCCCCUUUGUCUCUAAUACCAGAAGUCUCCCCUGCAUCCUCACUGGAGAAUACUCAGUCCUUUGAUAAGAGCCAGGCCCUUGGCUGUGACCUACUUCAUGAGGUGGUGGAGAACCAUGGUAGAUGGACUUGGAAGCAUUGGAAGCAAACUCAUCAACCAAGAGGAGUUGAUGGAUAAUUGAAGAGUCAACAUCUUCUUCCACCUCCUUCUUCCUUGAUAAGGUAGAUUAGAGAAAUCUCAGCAACUAAGCUAAUGUAGAAUAGUGUGGCUUUUUUUUUCCAGUACUGAACUGGUCUCUGAUGUAGAGGAUGAACUCUGCUGUACACUGACUCUCUUCUCUCCCUUUCCUCAUUUUUGACUUAAACGUUGACCCAAAUGUCCUAGCAUACAAACUUAUUAUGCUCUUUGCCUGGCUUAUUUUCUCUGAAUUUAAACCCAUUUACUCUGCACUUAGUAAAUAUUAUUGACUCGACUACAUAAGCCUUCUUGGUCAAAAGUUAUUUUGUUUGUUCUAUAGUGACAAUCUCAUCCCUAGUAGUAAUUUUAAAGGGUGGAAGUGGGAUAGAGCAUAUGGGUAUUCAAGGCAUAUUCAAAUGCAUUUUAAAAAGCAUUGCACUACUUACAGAGAUCUAGACACUAAGCAGCAGGUUCAGAUACUAGAUUUGGUUGUGAAAAUAUAUACUAUUCAUUGUUUAAAGCCUUUUAAAAGUUUGAUGUAGCAUGUUAGGAAAUUGCUUUUCUCUGUAAGAAUAUUUGAA